Molecule: transfer RNA, 66 nt
Filed under: Syrphus vitripennis
Lineage: Eukaryota; Metazoa; Arthropoda; Insecta; Diptera; Syrphidae
Also listed under: 1 other name
Description: tRNA-Glu
Source: RNAcentral
AUUUAUAUAGUUUAAUAAAACAUUACAUUUUCAUUGUAAAAAUAAUAAAAAUUUUAUUUAUAAAUU